UGACUACAAUCAGAUCACAUUAAACCAAACAUCCUUAGUACCAGUCCUCGGCACUCCAGUGACACUCAACGUUUAUGGAAAGAAUGAAAUUAUUCCAAUGCCUGGCUCAUAGAAAACAUGAAGCAGAUGUGUGUCAAGUGAAUGAAGAGGGAACAAAUUAAUAGCAAUGCCAGAUUGCAGAACCUUUCUUGGAUCACUGAAGUUUUUAGAUCUUUUUACAUAGAAAUUACUUUCAACCUGAAGAAGUGCAAAUAUGUAAGCGCGUAUGUACAAGAAUAUUAAGAGCAGCAGUUGAUUGAUGUUAGUGUUUUAUAACGACAAAAAUAGAAAUAAAUGGGCCCAUCACUACGAGAAUGGGUGACUAAAUUUUGACACAGCUGCACCGCAGUAAGCAGGCACUGAAGGGAAGAAAUGGCUGUAUCAUUUGACUUGGAAGGAUUGCCGGGAGAUAUUCCCGAGAAAAGCUGAUGUUUGAACAUGGAGAAAAGAGUGGACGGAAUCCCCGUCAUGGUUAACAUGGAUUUUCUGUGCAUAUAUAUGGAGCGAGUGGUGAUGCAAGUUGUGAGAGGAAUGUAGAUAGAAGAGAAAAAGUAAAA
Molecule: long non-coding RNA, 596 nt
Organism: Mustela erminea (ermine)
Lineage: Eukaryota; Metazoa; Chordata; Mammalia; Carnivora; Mustelidae
Exons: 3
Source: RefSeq, a predicted model, not a curated record